AAUAUUCAUUCCUUGCAUCAUAUCUACCCAUCACCCACCGAAACUUCUCAAUUAGGGGUGCCCCAAAUAGCUUGAGCCCCUUUCUGCCUCUUGUUCUCCGUGUAUCCGUCUUUCCUUUGUAAGCCCCUUGCCCAUGACUGUUAUUGAGCCAGUAUGACAGUACUGGUUGUUAAAAUAUUGAAAUACUUCUGUAUUAGUUGAGAAAUAGCCUCUUCUCUAAGCCUCCAGAUACGUGUCCUCCGCUCCCCACAAUCCAGCAACUAUAGGGUUAACACCCACCACAGCUGGGGACUUCAGGACCCUGCUCCCCCAGCCCCCACUGGUCAGUGGUUGCCUAUUGAGAAUCACCCAUGCUUCUGCUCCUUUGCAGAGCAAUCCACUGCCUCCCUUGGGUCUCCUCCUCAUUUACCUCCCUCCUUUCUUUUUGUUCCUUCUCCCCAGAUGUGGUGAACAAUUCCUCUCCGGCACUGGGAGGCACCUUCCCGCCAGCCCCCUGGUGGCCGCCUGGCCCACCUCCCACCAACUUCAGCAGCUUGGAGCUGGAGCCCAGAGGCCAGCA
This 559-nucleotide small RNA is filed under the name Pongo abelii (Sumatran orangutan). Its description in RNAcentral is "retained intron". Lineage: Eukaryota; Metazoa; Chordata; Mammalia; Primates; Hominidae. The record is from RNAcentral.